This 108-nucleotide ribosomal RNA is filed under the name Phycisphaeraceae bacterium. Lineage: Bacteria; Pseudomonadati; Planctomycetota; Phycisphaerae; Phycisphaerales; Phycisphaeraceae. The record is from RNAcentral.
GCCGGUGACCACAGCAGCGGGGCCACACCUGAUCCCAUCCCGAACUCAGCAGUUAAGCCCGCUGCGCCGAUGAUACUGCCUCAGCGGGAAAGUAGGUCAUUGCCGGCU